ACGCUUAAUAUUAAGAUAAAGGACAAAUCCACAACAAUGGUGAUGGAGAUCUAUUUUAGCAAACUCCUCAUUUUGGUUCUGAAGUUGUUUUCCCUUUUCAGUGAAGGAGCUGGUUUUGCGGCAUCUGUUGAACUUAGUCAAAUUAGGUGUGUUGUGUAUGUACCUUGGAGCUGAAAAUGUAACAUUAGCUCUAGAACUGGUUGCCUAUACUGAAGAAAUACAGGUUGGUAUUUUCAUCCCACUACUGUACAAUUUAUGUUAUUUUGUACAAUAUUCAUUUGGGGUAUUUGGUCUGUUAUAUUUAACUUCAUUUCUCUUCACAUUAUUGCCACGACAGAUACAUAUAUAGACUGAGGCUUGUGUCUCCUGGGUGUAGCUCUCAUCACCAUAACAAAGGUAUGCUGUCCAUUCUUAUCUUUUUUUUUCCAAUGGCAUUAUGCUUAUAACCUCUCUGAUGAAAUGGUCAAACGAAUAUUUGUAGUUGAAUCAUCUUGAUGCAUAAUAGAAGAGUUGCUGGGUUUGGACAUGAGCAUGAUCAAUUAUUGUGGCCUUGCUGUUUCUUGAAAGAUAGUGUGCAAAAAGUUUGUUUUGCUCUUGGAAGGUGUGUGUGAGAGUUUGAGAAAAAAACUACUGCUUUACUUAUGUUUCAACUCCGGUGAGGCAUGUUUGUACAGGUAGUGAAAAUAUGGUGCUUAUGAUUCUCUCGCUGAUUUGGGGAUUUUGAUAGUAGAAUGUGGUUCUAGCCUGGUGCUGCGGUUCAUUCAGUUUCAAGGGAAAUGAUAUAUGUGUGGUUUCUUUGCUUUACAUAAGAUGCAUUAUGUGUUGUCUUCAUCUUGGUAACAUGUGGGCAGAUGUGAUACAUUCUUCAUGUUUCUGGAUUUGGUGCAGGUUCGAGGGUGUAAAUCUACCUGAUAUAUUGUUGACGGGGAUUGAGUAUUGUAGUGAUAUAUCUGAGAAUUUUAAUGAUCUAUCUGCUACCAGGUACUGUACUCAACACAAUUUUUUUGUGUGUGAUUCAACUCAUUUAACUUCAUGUUAAUUUGCUAACAAACCUCCUGCUGCUACAGAUUUCUUUGUACAAUACAUACAAAUUAUUGAUAUGGUAUUUAAACAAUGAAUAAUAGAUGUAAUUAUCCUGUAUGUCAAAUCUACUACUGUUAUUCUCAUAUGGUGAAUCUAAAUACUUCUUUGUAUCUUAGUCAUGAAAGUUCAAAGGCAAAUUUCCGUUGAUCUCAUUAAUUAGUGGUCUGAUUAACUCUCUCCCUCUCACCUCACAUGUAAAAAGAGAAGGUAAGAGGGACCAUGUUAAAAUGUGCCGUUGAGUACAUCCUGCAUCAGUGAGAUAUCAUGCUCAUUAUACCUCAGAGUUGCUAAUAUUUUUCUUUUCACAUAUAGUCCUCUCCUCUUGUCCCCGUUUCUCCAAUGAAAACUGUACUUCAGGCCAAAUGCUGAAGCCUUUACCUUCUUAAUGCUCUGUUUUAUUUGUGUUAACAUGUAUUCCUCAUGAUUACUGUGCAUACUUCUUUUUGAUUUUCUGUAUAGACAAUGAAGGAGAUGGACAAACAUAUAGCUCUAUGGUGAGGUACUAAUUCAACUUUUCUGGUUUUAAUUACCAGUUGUUCUGUGUUCGACUGAGCUGCGUAUAUUUCGUGUUAGCCUUUCGCUGAUUUUAGAACUGACCGCGUUUUGAUGAUUGGUGGUUACAGGGUUGCAUGGAGUACGAAGGCUUGUAUGCUGCAAGAGAUUUAGACACCCAGUUGCUGAUCUUCAGCCCCUUGAUGUUGGUUUACCAAUCUGCAUUCCACACUCUUCAAAGGUUCCGAGGAAGGUGAGUUUUGUAAGUACCAGUCUCUGCAAGAACGCUAAUCUCGGUUCAUUUUCCAUAAAUUUGCAAUAGUUUGUUAUUUGCCGGGACCAACUUUAACUAGGUUGAAAUAAUGAUAUUUUUUGUUCAUUUUAUCUGUUUGUAACACUCUACGUUUUAUUAAUGCAUGAUAGGUGCCUCUAUCAGCCAUUUUUGAACCAGAUAUGCAGCAGCAAGGGAGUAGCCCUAUCACUCUCGAUCAAAACCUCAAAGGGCGAAGGGAGAACGCAACAACAUUCUUCUAUGAUAGUUAAUGUUGUCCCACCUAUACGUUUUAUUAAGGCAUGAUAGGUGCCUCUAUCAGCCAUUUUCUACCAUGUACGGCUGAUACAUGUUAACUGCCAGUUUGUACAGGUACACAGUUGUGUGAUACCCAUGAAUUUUAGUCAGAGUAAUUAUAUGUUCUGUUAUCAUGGUCACUAGAUUUUGUUGAGUACCUUAGUGCUCAACUUAGGAACAACUAAUUGCCAUCUUAGGUCACUGCAUUCCCAAAAUAACUAUGGAAAGUUUACUUUCACAAUACAGUCACAUAUCCAUGUCCCAUUUUUCUUUGUGGUUUCUAUCUAUAUAUUCAGAUUGGACGCAUUUAUAUUGAGUACUUAGAAAUUUACAUAUGUUUCCAGUUGCAUUUUAGUUUAGACAUGCUCUGAUAAUAUGCAAAGUAUGUGGCACAAAAUGAUGGUGCUGGUGUUAUCAAUGGGGUCCAAGGAAAUUUGCACAAAAAUUUAAACAAAAUGAUUAUGCCAUCAAUACUUUCUGAAGCCUUCAACUUUCUCCCUUUUGUCCCUAAACAUGUCCUGUGUUUACGCAAGGUGCAGCAGCAGCAGGUCAUCCACUUCUACCCAAGUUGCCAUGGAAAAUCUAAUGGGUUUACGACUAUCUCAGUUCAUAAUGGUGUGAGCUUUGUAGGAGUGGGAUAUCAUAUACAGUAUGAUAGAUAUGGAAGACAACAAGCAAAAAUUCAAUUAUGAGGUGAUGGUUGAGCUGAUCAGUACAACGUUGUCCCGAAUUUUCUUUUGAUUCUGUUUCUUCUUGGUUUGCAGAUGAUCGGCUGUUUCAAUCUUUUUCUUCUGCUUACAGUCCACCAACAGGAUUGUUGAUGCCCGCAGGAGGGGGACAUCGCAGUAGAUGGGCUGAAGUAGGAGGCUGAGAGAAAUGGGAAACAACGGAUUCUAGCACAUAGUAGAUGCCUAAGAUGUCACUGAAGCGCUAUUGAGGUACAUUCUGAUAACUACAGUUCUAUUGGACAACACUAGCCCCUAUAGUAACAUAUAUGGUCUGAGAUUUUUCUAGGAUCAUUCCUCCCAGGUGAUUACAAACCUGGUCAUAAUGUAGCAUAAGCUAAAUCAAAUCCAGAUUUUCUUCCUUGGCCCAUUACAAUAAAGGAUCCUUUAUACUGAGCUUUUUGUGUUACAACAGAAUUAUGGAUGACUGCUCUAUUUAGUCCUUGACAGUUCCAUCUAUAUAUGCCAUGGGCUUAGCUAUUAGCGUUGUUGAGUGCGACCUUGUGGACCUCUGCAUUUUUUAUUUCUGUUUGCAAUGUUGUGAUUCUCCUGCUCAUUGCUUUUCAUUUUUCUUUGUGUAGGUCACAUACACUCCAACAUCUAAAAUAAAUCCAGCAGGCAGUUUAGAGUUUUUCGGGUUGAUGAUUAUGAAUGCAGAUAGACCUAUCUAAUCCAGCUUUUGCUUGAUUUUUGUCACUGAACUUCAUAUUAGAUGUGAUAUAACUACUCAGAUUGUAUCAGCCUUCCUAUUCUUUCCCCUUUCCUAUUACUACAAGUGUAUAUGGUAAUUAUUUAUCAAAUAAUACACGGCUUUUGUUCAUCUCAUGCGCAGGUGGCGCAACGGGUGCUUUAUAAAACCAAUGUAUGCUACAAAGUAUCUAUUCAGUAUCAGUCACAUAUACAUGGUUUGAAUACUCGGCCCGCUCUCGCUUAUUUUACCAAGGAUCUUCAACAAGUAUAUCUGCAAAAGGUCAAAUUCCAUUCAAUUCAGACCCAAACAAUACUCCGCUAGGUUGAUCGCACACUACAGCAAAUUCCUUUCAAAAUAAUCUAUUCACCGUGAAGCACGCU
This 3939-nucleotide long non-coding RNA is filed under the name Triticum aestivum (bread wheat). RNAcentral describes it as "long non-coding RNA (TAES_LNC001177)". The record is from RNAcentral. Lineage: Eukaryota; Viridiplantae; Streptophyta; Magnoliopsida; Poales; Poaceae.